GCAAAACGCGAAGAACCUUACCUACUCUUGACAUCCACGGAACUUUUCAGAGAUGAAUUGGUGCCUUCGGGAACCGUGAGACAGGUGCUGCAUGGCUGUCGUCAGCUCGUGUUGUGAAAUGUUGGGUUAAGUCCCGCAACGAGCGCAACCCUUAUCCUUUGUUGCCAGCGGUUAGGCCGGGAACUCAAAGGAGACUGCCAGUGAUAAACUGGAGGAAGGUGGGGAUGACGUCAAGUCAUCAUGGCCCUUACGAGUAGGGCUACACACGUGCUACAAUGGCGCAUACAGAGAGAAGCGACCUCGCGAGAGCAAGCGGACCUCAUAAAGUGCGUCGUAGUCCGGAUUGGAGUCUGCAACUCGACUCCAUGAAGUCGGAAUCGCUAGUAAUCGUAGAUCAGAAUGCUACGGUGAAUACGUUCCCGGGUCUUGUACACACCG
This 438-nucleotide ribosomal RNA is filed under the name uncultured bacterium. RNAcentral's name for it is "bacterial SSU rRNA". It matches the Rfam family "Bacterial small subunit ribosomal RNA", at positions 954 to 1392 of the family's 1533-position model. The record is from RNAcentral.